Molecule: ribosomal RNA, 225 nt
Filed under: uncultured Alistipes sp.
Lineage: Bacteria; Pseudomonadati; Bacteroidota; Bacteroidia; Bacteroidales; Rikenellaceae
Description: partial 16S ribosomal RNA
Rfam family: Bacterial small subunit ribosomal RNA
Source: RNAcentral
UGCGUAGGCGGUUUUAUAAGUUAGAGGUGAAAUUUCGGUGCUCAACACCGACACUGCCUCUAAUACUGUAGGACUAGAGAGUAGUUGCGGUAGGCGGAAUGUGUAGUGUAGCGGUGAAAUGCUUAGAGAUUACACAGAACACCGAUUGCGAAAGCAGCUUACCAAGCUAUAUCUGACGUUGAGGCACGAAAGCGUGGGGAGCAAACAGGAUUAGAUACCCCCGUA